RNAcentral lists this ribosomal RNA (492 nucleotides) under uncultured bacterium. Its description in RNAcentral is "partial 16S ribosomal RNA". It matches the Rfam family "Bacterial small subunit ribosomal RNA", at positions 28 to 507 of the family's 1533-position model. The record is from RNAcentral.
GAUGAACGCUAGCUACAGGCUUAACACAUGCAAGUCGAGGGGAAACGGCAUCGAAAGCUUGCUUUUGAUGGGCGUCGACCGGCGCACGGGUGAGUAACGCGUAUCCAACCUGCCCAUCACUUGGGAAUAACCUUGCGAAAGUAAGACUAAUGCCCAAUGACAUCCCACGAAGGCAUCCGAGUGGGAUUAAAGAUUUAUCGGUGAUGGAUGGGGAUGCGUCUGAUUAGCUUGUUGGCGGGGUGACGGCCCACCAAGGCAACGAUCAGUAGGGGUUCUGAGAGGAAGGUCCCCCACAUUGGAACUGAGACACGGUCCAAACUCCUACGGGAGGCAGCAGUGAGGAAUAUUGGUCAAUGGGCGAGAGCCUGAACCAGCCAAGUAGCGUGCAGGAUGACGGCCCUAUGGGUUGUAAACUGCUUUUAUAAGGGAAUAAAGUGGGUCACGUGUGACUUUUUGCAUGUACCUUAUGAAUAAGGACCGGCUAAUUCCGUG